This 490-nucleotide ribosomal RNA is filed under the name uncultured bacterium. RNAcentral's name for it is "partial 16S ribosomal RNA". It matches the Rfam family "Bacterial small subunit ribosomal RNA", at positions 30 to 507 of the family's 1533-position model. The record is from RNAcentral.
AUUGAACGCUGGCGGCAUGCUUUACACAUGCAAGUCGGACGGCAGCACAGAGACGCUUGCUUCUUGGGUGGCGAGUGGCGAACGGGUGAGUAACAUAUCGGAACGUACCGAGCAGUGGGGGAUAACUAAUCGAAAGAUUAGCUAAUACCGCAUAUCUUCUGAGGAAGAAAGCAGGGGACCAUUUGGCCUUGCGCUGUUUGAGCGGCCGAUAUCUGAUUAGCUAGUUGGUGGGGUAAAGGCCUACCAAGGCGACGAUCAGUAGCGGGUCUGAGAGGAUGAUCCGCCACACUGGGACUGAGACACGGCCCAGACUCCUACGGGAGGCAGCAGUGGGGAAUUUUGGACAAUGGGCGCAAGCCUGAUCCAGCCAUGCCGCGUGUCUGAAGAAGGCCUUCGGGUUGUAAAGGACUUUUGCCAGGGAAGAAAAGGGCGGGGUUAAUACCCCUGUCUGAUGACGGUACCUGAAGAAUAAGCACCGGCUAACUACGUG